CGGCGAUACUUAAGUGUUAUUUAUUAUCUCAUUGAUUUAAUUAGUAAUAUUUUUUAUUUGUCGAUUAUUUUUAAGUUAAAAUAAAAUUUUUAAUUUUACUUAUUUUUACUAUAUUUUGAGUGAAUACAAAUAGUUAAUGAAUUAUUUUAUAAUUAUGUUCGGCACCUCCUAAAUAAUAUGAUCAAGUUCUGCCACUACUUUCUUCUCUGGCAAUAUCCAACCUAGCGAUCGGUAAGGCUUUCCCAUCGGUGAAGCACGCACCAGCAACUCCCGAGAGCCUAGAACGACGAUAAACAAGGGCAGCAGAGAGAGAGAGAGAGAGA
RNAcentral lists this unclassified non-coding RNA (323 nucleotides) under Hevea brasiliensis (rubber tree). Lineage: Eukaryota; Viridiplantae; Streptophyta; Magnoliopsida; Malpighiales; Euphorbiaceae. The record is from RNAcentral.